This is a long non-coding RNA of Neltuma alba, 147 nucleotides long. RefSeq lists it as uncharacterized. The record is from RefSeq and is a predicted model, not a curated record. Lineage: Eukaryota; Viridiplantae; Streptophyta; Magnoliopsida; Fabales; Fabaceae. The transcript is spliced from 3 exons.
GGAUAAGUAUUGGAGAGAUAAAAGCCAAAUUCCGAUCAUCUUCGUUAAUUAACAAGUCCUGCAAGUCCUGAGUCGUAUAAUUGCUUUCCUCAUUAAACAACUUGUAAAAGUAAGCCUCCCAUCUGUCCUUAAUAUCACCAUCAGUAA